Molecule: ribosomal RNA, 498 nt
Filed under: uncultured bacterium
Lineage: Bacteria
Description: partial 16S ribosomal RNA
Rfam family: Bacterial small subunit ribosomal RNA
Source: RNAcentral
GACGAACGCUGGCGGCGUGCCUAAUACAUGCAAGUCGAACGAGAGCGUCCGGUGCUUGCCCUGGUCAAACUAGUGGCGAACAGGUGAGUAAAACGCGUGGAAACUGCCCAUCAGAGGGGGAUAACAUUCGGAAACGGGUGCUAAAACCGCAGAGGACUUCGAUUCGCAUGGCGUGAAGAGGAAAAGAGUCGCAAGCCUCACACGAUGGAAUGGCCCGCGGUGCAUUAGCUAGUUGGUGAGGUAACGGCCCACCAAGGCCGUGAUGCAUAGCCGACCUGAGAGGGUGAUCGGCCACAUUGGGACUGAGACACGGCCCAAACUCCUACGGGAGGCAGCAGUAGGGAAUCUUCCGCAAUGGACGCAAGUCUGACGGAGCAACGCCGCGUGAGUGAAGAAGGUUUUCGGAUCGUAAAACUCUGUUGUUAGAGAAGAACAAGUGCUAGAGUAACUGUUAGCGCCUUGACGGUAUCUAACCAGAAAGCCACGGCUAACUACGUG